RNAcentral lists this ribosomal RNA (382 nucleotides) under uncultured Alphaproteobacteria bacterium. RNAcentral's name for it is "bacterial SSU rRNA". It matches the Rfam family "Bacterial small subunit ribosomal RNA", at positions 9 to 419 of the family's 1533-position model. Lineage: Bacteria; Pseudomonadati; Pseudomonadota; Alphaproteobacteria. The record is from RNAcentral.
GAGUUUGAUCUUGGCUCAGAACGAACGCUGGCGGCAGGCUUAACACAUGCAAGUCGAGCGCUGUAGCAAUACAGAGCGGCGCACGGGAGAGUAAUACGUGGGAACCUACCUUUUGGUUCGGAAUAACGUCGGGAAACUGACGCUAAUACCGGAUAAGCCCUUACGGGGAAAGAUUUAUCGCCGAUAGAUGGGCCCACGUUGGAUUAGCUAGUUGGUGAGGUAACGGCUCACCAAGGCAACGAUCCAUAGCUGGUCUGAGAGGAUGAUCAGCCUCACUGGGACUGAGACACGGCCCAGACUCCUACGGGAGGCAGCAGUGGGGAAUAUUGGACAAUGGGGGCAACCCUGAUCCAGCCAUGCCGCGUGAGUGAUGAAGGCCUUC